Molecule: ribosomal RNA, 460 nt
Filed under: uncultured bacterium
Lineage: Bacteria
Description: partial 16S ribosomal RNA
Rfam family: Bacterial small subunit ribosomal RNA
Source: RNAcentral
CCUACGGGAGGCAGCAGUGAGGAAUAUUGGUCAAUGGACGAGAGUCUGAACCAGCCAAGUAGCGUGAAGGAUGACUGCCCUAUGGGUUGUAAACUUCUUUUAUAUGGGAAUAAAACAGGGUAUGCAUACCCUCUUGUAUGUACCAUAUGAAUAAGGAUCGGCUAACUCCGUGCCAGCAGCCGCGGUAAUACGGAGGAUCCGAGCGUUAUCCGGAUUUAUUGGGUUUAAAGGGAGCGUAGGUGGAUUGUUAAGUCAGUUGUGAAAGUUUGCGGCUCAACCGUAAAAUUGCAGUUGAAACUGGCAGUCUUGAGUACAGUAGAGGUGGGCGGAAUGCGUGGUGUAGCGGUGAAAUGCUUAGAUAUCACGAAGAACUCCGAUUGCGAAGGCAGCUCACUGGCCUGCAACUGACACUGAUGCUCGAAAGUGUGGGGAUCAAACAGGAUUAGAUACCCUAUUAGUC